RNAcentral lists this long non-coding RNA (593 nucleotides) under Daucus carota (carrot). RNAcentral's name for it is "long non-coding RNA (DCAR_LNC002822)". The record is from RNAcentral. Lineage: Eukaryota; Viridiplantae; Streptophyta; Magnoliopsida; Apiales; Apiaceae.
CCGAGUCUCGAACCCGCUGCUCCCCAUCCCACAACCUAUCAACAACCGCCGUCAUAAUUCUAUCAGAAUGCAACUUAAACAACUCCGCGGCCGACGACAGCAACAAAAGCGCGCCCUCCGAAACCCUAGAAUCGGUGUCCUUCAAAAGCUCAACACACGUGUCGACUAGCGCCGUCACUUCCGACGAUGACAAGCACUUUCUUGAAUCUUCAAGAAGCUGUUGCAGCCGAUCCACUCCCGCCCUUCGCUUCUUGGUAUCAUUCGAUCUCGCCAAUUCUAAGGCCUCCUCCAUGAGAGCGAGAGUGGUUUGGCGAGUAAUUAGGUCUUGGAAUGUGGAUGUGAUGAUGAUGAUGUUAUUGUUUGUGUGUAGAAUUGUAUUAUUACAGAGAGGGGGGGACCAAGCGAAUGAUUAGGGUUUGAAAUGUGGAUCUGAAGUCAAGAAGAAGAUGAUGUGAUGAUCCGAAGUGAGUAUAGUUGUUUGUCUGAAGAAGAUGAUGUGAUGAAUUGAGUUGAAUAUUACGAGGAGGAAAGGGGGAAAUUAAGUGUUUGAAAAAUAAUCUCCUGUGAGUAUUUGUGUCUUUAUUGCAUUUACA